This 273-nucleotide ribosomal RNA is filed under the name uncultured bacterium. RNAcentral describes it as "partial 16S ribosomal RNA". It matches the Rfam family "Bacterial small subunit ribosomal RNA", at positions 524 to 794 of the family's 1533-position model. The record is from RNAcentral.
UACAGAGGCCUCAAGCGUUAUCCGGAUUUAUUGGGCGUAAAGCGUGUGUAGGUUGGUUGAUUAGUCAGAUGUUAAAGCCCGGGGCUCAACUCCGGACCAGCAUUUGAAACGGUCAGCCUAGAGUAUGUGAGAGAUCGAGUGGAAUUUAUGGUGUAGUAGUGAAAUGCGUUGAUAUCAUAAGGAACACCCAAGGCGAAGGCAACUGACUUGGCACAUUACUGACACUGAGACACGAAAGCGUGGGGAGCGAAUAGGAUUAGAUACCCGGGUAGU